AGAUUGAACGCUGGCGGCGUGCUUAACACAUGCAAGUCGAGCGGUAACGCGGGAGCAAUCCUGGCGACGAGCGGCGAACGGGUGAGUAAUGCUUGGGAAUCUGCCCAUUAGUGGGGAACAACCAGCCGAAAGGUUGGCUAAUACCGCAUACGCCCUACGGGGGAAAGCGGGGGAUCGAAAGACCUCGCGCUAAUGGAUGAGCCCAAGUCGGAUUAGCUUGUUGGUAGGGUAACGGCCUACCAAGGCGACAAUCCGUAGCUGGUCUGAGAGGACGACCAGCCACACUGGGACUGAGACACGGCCCAGACUCCUACGGGAGGCAGCAGUGGGGAAUAUUGGACAAUGGGGGCAACCCUGAUCCAGCGACGCCGCGUGUGUGAAGAAGGCCUGCGGGUUGUAAAGCACUUUAGUGGGGAUGAAAAGCUCAGGGUUAACACCUCUGGGUCUUGACCUAACCCACAGAAAAAAGCACCGGCUAACUCUGCGCCAGCAGCCGC
This 497-nucleotide ribosomal RNA is filed under the name uncultured bacterium. Its description in RNAcentral is "SSU rRNA". It matches the Rfam family "Bacterial small subunit ribosomal RNA", at positions 26 to 518 of the family's 1533-position model. The record is from RNAcentral.